Molecule: small nucleolar RNA, 142 nt
Organism: Grammomys surdaster
Lineage: Eukaryota; Metazoa; Chordata; Mammalia; Rodentia; Muridae
Product: small nucleolar RNA SNORA48
Exons: 1
Source: RefSeq, a predicted model, not a curated record
UGCCCCUGGCAGUGGGCAAAGAGACUUUGUUAGUACUGUUGUUCUUUUAUCAGUCAGGGGCAGAGCAGAUGGCAGUCCUUUGUUCAUCCUAGCUUGAUGCCUGGCUUGAUGGCCAAAGCUGUCUUAUGCCUAGGACUCAAAA